This 319-nucleotide ribosomal RNA is filed under the name uncultured eukaryote. Its description in RNAcentral is "partial 18S ribosomal RNA". It matches the Rfam family "Eukaryotic small subunit ribosomal RNA", at positions 1470 to 1796 of the family's 1831-position model. The record is from RNAcentral.
CCCUUAGAUGGUCUGGGCGGCACGCGCGCUACAAUGAUGCAUUCAAAAAGUCUUCUGACCUUAGAAGGUUGGGUAUUCUCCAAAGUGCAUCGUGAUGGGAAUAGUUUAUUGCAAUUUUUAAUCUUGAACGAGGAAUUCCUGGUAAGUACAGGUCAUCAACUUGUGUUGAUUACGUCCCUGCCCUUUGUACACACCGCCCGUCGCUCCUACUGAUUGAGUGUCUCGGUGAAUUCUUUGAUCUUCUGUCGAUUCAGUUCACUGAUCCGACGGUGGAAAGUUGAAUGAACUUCGUCACUUAGAGGAAGGAGAAGUCGUAACA